UGCCCCAGUAACGGCGAGUGAAGCGGCAACAGCUCAAAUUUGAAAUCUGGCCUCCCUCGGUGGCCGAGUUGUAAUUUGCAGAGGGUGCUUUGGCGUCGGCAGCGGUCUAAGUUCCUUGGAACAGGACGUCACAGAGGGUGAGAAUCCCGUACGUGGUCGCCUGCCUUCGCCGUGUAAAGCCCCUUCGACGAGUCGAGUUGUUUGGGAAUGCAGCUCUAAAUGGGAGGUAAAUUUCUUCUAAAGCUAAAUACCGGCCAGAGACCGAUAGCGCACAAGUAGAGUGAUCGAAAGAUGAAAAGCACUUUGGAAAGAGAGUCAAACAGCACGUGAAAUUGUUGAAAGGGAAGCGCUUGCCGCCAGACUUGCCCGCAGUUGCUCAUCGGAACUUCUGCUCCGAGCACUCUUCUGCGGGCAGGCCAGCAUCAGUUUGGGCGACCGGAUAAAGGCCUCUGUCAUGUAUCUUCCUUCGGGAUGACCUUAUAGGGGAGGCGCAAUGCGGCCAGCCCGGACUGAGGUCCGCGCAUCUGCUAGGAUGCUGGCGUAAUGGCUGAAGCGGCCCGUCUUGAAACACGGACCAAGGAGUCUAACAUCUAUGCGAGUGUUUGGGUGUCAAGCCCGGGCGCGCAAUGAAAGUGAACGGAGGUGGGAACCCUUGGGUGCACCAUCGACCGAUCCUGAUGUCUUCGGAUGGAUUUGAGUAAGAGCAUAGCUGUUGGGACCCGAAAGAUGGUGAACUAUGCUUGAAUAGGGUGAAGCCAGAGGAAACUCUGGUGGAGGCUCGCAGCGGUUCUGACGUGCAAAUCGAUCGUCAAAUUUGGGCAUAGGGGCGAAAGAC
Molecule: ribosomal RNA, 835 nt
Filed under: Halobyssothecium obiones
Lineage: Eukaryota; Fungi; Ascomycota; Dothideomycetes; Pleosporales; Lentitheciaceae
Description: eukaryotic LSU rRNA
Rfam family: Eukaryotic large subunit ribosomal RNA
Source: RNAcentral